AUUGAACGCUGGCGGCAGGCCUAACACAUGCAAGUCGAACGAGUGGCGGACGGGUGAGUAAUGUCUGGGAAACUGCCUGAUGGAGGGGGAUAACUACUGGAAACGGUAGCUAAUACCGCAUACCAUCGGAUGUGCCCAGAUGGGUUUAGCUAGUAGGUGGGGUAACGGCUCACCUAGGCGACGAUCCCUAGCUGGUCUGAGAGGAUGACCAGCAACACUGGAACUGAGACACGGUCCAGACUCCUACGGGAGGAAGAAGUGGGGAAUAUUGCACAAUGGGCGCAAGCCUGAUGCAGCCAUGCCGCGUGUGUGAAGAAGGUAUUCGGGUUGUAAAGCACUUUCAGCGGGGAGGAGUUACCCGCAGAAGAAGCACCGGCUAACUCCGUGCCAGCAGCCGCGGUAAUAC
RNAcentral lists this ribosomal RNA (406 nucleotides) under uncultured bacterium. Its description in RNAcentral is "partial 16S ribosomal RNA". It matches the Rfam family "Bacterial small subunit ribosomal RNA", at positions 30 to 526 of the family's 1533-position model. The record is from RNAcentral.